AGCGAACGCUGGCGGCAGGCCUAACACAUGCAAGUCGAACGAACCUUUCGGGGUUAGUGGCGGACGGGUGAGUAACACGUGGGAACGUGCCUUUAGGUUCGGAAUAACUCAGGGAAACUUGUGCUAAUACCGAAUGUGCCCUUCGGGGGAAAGCUUUAUCGCCUUUAGAGCGGCCCGCGUCUGAUUAGCUAGUUGGUUGAGGUAAUGGCUCACCAAGGCGACGAUCAGUAGCUGGUCUGAGAGGAUGAUCAGCCCCAUUGGGACUGAGACACGGCCCAAACUCCUUCGGGAGGCAGCAGUGGGGAAUCUUGCGCAAUGGGCGAAAGCCUGACGCAGCCAUGCCGCGUGAAUGAUGAAGGUCUUAGGAUUGUAAAAUUCUUUCACCGGGGACGAUAAUGACGGUACCCGGAGAAGAAGCCCCGGCUAACUUCGUG
RNAcentral lists this ribosomal RNA (434 nucleotides) under uncultured bacterium. RNAcentral describes it as "partial 16S ribosomal RNA". It matches the Rfam family "Bacterial small subunit ribosomal RNA", at positions 29 to 507 of the family's 1533-position model. The record is from RNAcentral.